AUUGAACGCUGGCGGCAGGCUUAACACAUGCAAGUCGAGCGGAGCGGCGGACGGGUGAGUAAUGCCUAUGAAUCUGCCUGGUAGUGGGGGAUAACGUCCGGAAACGGGCGCUAAUACCGCAUACUAUCAGAUGAGCCUAGGUCGGUUUAGCUAGUUGGUGGGGUAAAGGCCUACCAAGGCCACGAUCCGUAACUGGUCUGAGAGGAUGAUUAGUCACACUGGAACUGAGACACGGGCCAGACUCCUACGGGAGGCAGCAGUGGGGAAUAUUGGACAAUGGGCGAAAGCCUGAUCCAGCCAUGCCGCGUGUGUGAAGAAGGUCUUCGGAUUGUAAAGCACUUUAAGUUGGGAGGCGUUACCCGCAGAAGAAGCACCGGCUAACUCCGUGCCAGCAGCCGCGGUAAUUC
RNAcentral lists this ribosomal RNA (407 nucleotides) under uncultured bacterium. RNAcentral describes it as "partial 16S ribosomal RNA". It matches the Rfam family "Bacterial small subunit ribosomal RNA", at positions 30 to 526 of the family's 1533-position model. The record is from RNAcentral.